UACGUAGGGUGCGAGCGUUAAUCGGAAUUACUGGGCGUAAAGCGUGCGCAGGCGGUUUGCUAAGACCGAUGUGAAAUCCCCGGGCUCAACCUGGGAACUGCAUCUUAUACUGGGUAACUGGAGUGCAGUAGAGGGUAGUGGAAUUUCCGGUGUAGCGGUGAAAUGCGUAGAUAUCGGAAGGAACACCAGUGGCGAAGGCGGCUACCUGGACUGAGACUGACACUGAGGCGCGAGAGCGUGGGGAGCAAACAGG
RNAcentral lists this ribosomal RNA (253 nucleotides) under uncultured prokaryote. Its description in RNAcentral is "partial 16S ribosomal RNA". It matches the Rfam family "Bacterial small subunit ribosomal RNA", at positions 524 to 776 of the family's 1533-position model. The record is from RNAcentral.